CCUACGGGUGGCUGCAGUGGGGAAUAUUGGGCAAUGGGCGCAAGCCUGACCCAGCAACGCCGCGUGAAGGAAGAAGGCUUUCGGGUUGUAAACUUCUUUUCUCAGGGACGAAGCAAGUGACGGUACCUGAGGAAUAAGCCACGGCUAACUACGUGCCAGCAGCCGCGGUAAUACGUAGGUGGCAAGCGUUAUCCGGAUUUACUGGGUGUAAAGGGCGUGUAGGCGGGACUGCAAGUCAGAUGUGAAAACCAUGGGCUCAACCUAUGGCCUGCAUUUGAAACUGUAGUUCUUGAGUACUGGAGAGGCAGACGGAAUUCCUAGUGUAGCGGUGAAAUGCGUAGAUAUUAGGAGGAACACCAGUGGCGAAGGCGGUCUGCUGGACUGUGACUGACGUUGAGGCCCGAAGGCGUGGGGAGCAAACAGGAUUAGAUACCCCUGUAGUC
RNAcentral lists this ribosomal RNA (443 nucleotides) under uncultured bacterium. RNAcentral describes it as "partial 16S ribosomal RNA". It matches the Rfam family "Bacterial small subunit ribosomal RNA", at positions 338 to 795 of the family's 1533-position model. The record is from RNAcentral.